Glycine soja is the source of this 797-nucleotide long non-coding RNA. RefSeq lists it as uncharacterized. The record is from RefSeq and is a predicted model, not a curated record. The transcript has 2 exons. Lineage: Eukaryota; Viridiplantae; Streptophyta; Magnoliopsida; Fabales; Fabaceae.
CGUUUAUCGUUAUGGUUACGGAUGGUUCCUCUUCUUCCUCUCACAUGGCAUGACACCAGUAAUAAUAACACAUUCCACUUUCCCAUCUCUGGUUUUUACAUUACAAUACAACCUUAACGCUCUUGUUCACGAAACACGCGCUUUUUCACAACCUUCGAAGUCUUUUUCGCAACCUUCGAAGUCAAAAGAUUCAGGCAUUCUAGUCCCGAGUAAGUCAUUGUAGAAGCCAUGGUUCUCGACUCCAUUUUGUCGUCUUCUCCUUGUCUGAAGUCACCAUCUUUCAGUAGGCAGUUUGCAAGGCAUGAACUGGGAAGUUGGUCAACACUCGUCAAGAGACACUGCUUCCUCUUAUCUGCUCUUGCUCUACUAACUGUCCUCUGUACCAUUUAUCUAUAUUUUGCAGUUACAUUCGCAGCCAAUGACUCCUGCUCUGGGUUGAGUGGAUCUCUGAGAGAUUCCUGUCAUAUGGAGCAUGUUAUGGAUUCUGAAGCCAAGAGUAAACUGAAAGGUCUGAGACAUUUAUGAUUUCCAAUUCAAGUUGUGCCGGAGAGUUUUUUUAUCUUUUCCUUUAGUAUAAUAUGUACUAUUUAUCCAUACUGUUUAUCUUAGUAUUUGUGAGCCAAAAUGUACAAUGUAUGUAGAAAGCAAUUUCUUGAAUGCUCAUUUGGGGGCUGCUUUCUGGGGUCUAAUAUAAGAUCAGUGAGCAUCCUGUUGAUGGUUAAUUCAAAACUUCAGAUUUCUCAUUUGUGAAAUACGUUUGGUUCAUUUUUAAAUAUGGACCUUUUCAUGAAGGAUCA